GACGAACGCUGGCGGUAUGCUUAACACAUGCAAGUCGAGCGAGAAUCGUUUUGCUGAAGGCUUCGGUCUGACGCAGAAUGAGGAAAGUGGCGAACGAGUGAGUAACGCGUGGGUAACCUGCCCUAUGGAAAGGAAUAGCCUCGGGAAACUGGGAGUAAUGCCUUAUAAUACAUUGAAGUCGCAUGGCUUUGAUGUUAAACGCUCCGGUGCCAUAGGAUGGACCCGCGUCCCAUUAGCUAGUUGGUGAGAUAACAGCCCACCAGGGCGACGAUGGGUAACCGGUCUGAGAGGGCGAACGGUCACACUGGAACUGAGACACGGUCCAGACUCCUACGGGAGGCAGCAGUGGGGAAUAUUGCGCAAUGGGGGAAACCCUGACGCAGCAAUACCGCGUGAGUGAAGAAGGUUUUCGGAUCGUAAAGCUCUGCUAUUGGGGAAGAAAAAAGACGGUACCCAAGAAGAAAGUCCCGGCUAACUACGUGCCAGCAGCCGCCGUAA
Molecule: ribosomal RNA, 498 nt
Filed under: uncultured bacterium
Lineage: Bacteria
Description: partial 16S ribosomal RNA
Rfam family: Bacterial small subunit ribosomal RNA
Source: RNAcentral